GAUGAACGCUGGCGGCGUGCCUAAUACAUGCAAGUCGAGCGAACGGACGAGAAGCUUGCUCCUCUGACGUUAGCGGCGGACGGGUGAGUAACACGUGGAUAACCUACCUAUAAGACUGGGAUAACUUCGGGAAACCGUAGCUAAUACCGGAUAAUAUUUUGAACCGCAUGGUUCAAAAGUGAAAGACGGUUUUGCUGUCACUUAUAGAUGGAUCCGCGCUGCAUUAGCUAGUUGGUAAGGUAACGGCUUACCAAGGCAACGAUGCGUAGCCGACCUGAGAGGGUGAUCGGCCACACUGGAACUGAGACACGGUCCAGACUCCUACGGGAGGCAGCAGUAGGGAAUCUUCCGCAAUGGGCGAAAGCCUGACGGAGCAACGCCGCGUGAGUGAUGAAGGUCUUCGGAUCGUAAAACUCUGUUAUUAGGGAAGAACAUAUGUGUAAGUAACUCUGCACGUCUUGACGGUACCUAAUCAGAAAGCCACGGCUAACUACGUG
RNAcentral lists this ribosomal RNA (497 nucleotides) under uncultured bacterium. RNAcentral describes it as "partial 16S ribosomal RNA". It matches the Rfam family "Bacterial small subunit ribosomal RNA", at positions 28 to 507 of the family's 1533-position model. The record is from RNAcentral.